Molecule: long non-coding RNA, 2154 nt
Filed under: Varroa destructor (honeybee mite)
Lineage: Eukaryota; Metazoa; Arthropoda; Arachnida; Mesostigmata; Varroidae
Description: uncharacterized LOC111251839
Source: RNAcentral
GCUCACGCUUGAGUGCGGAACGAUCUUAAAAGCUAUGUUGUCAUAUAACGUAUAUUCUGUAUCUGACGUCAGUGUCAUUCAAUACAGUAUGCUCCUAUACAUCGCAGCCUAAUGGUAACGCUGGUGGUGCCAUCUUUGGAUGGCCACGUUACUACUGUGUUUUGUCGGACCCCUGAAACCCGUAAUCACUUAAGCGGCGUCACCCGGCCACAGGCUGUUCGAGAUGAGGCGCUUCCCUAGACUGCUCUUUUUCUGAAUGCACGAGCUACACUUUGUACAUUGUGGCAGACGAUACCUAACUCGUGCCCCCUGAGCGGCAAAGGUUGUGGUUUGUGUAUAUACACAUGUCGUAGAAUGGCCCACGUAAUACAGAGAACAGGUUUUGAGGGCUCUUAUUAUCUGUAAGUAGCUUUGUAUCUGUUGACGCUUCUCUGAGGUACACUUUGAUAGGUGGAUUGGGCCCGUUGUAGACGAACCAUUACGACUGGAUAGCUUAGCUUCAGCUAGUCUGUAUGUUUGACCGUUGUCUGACUCCUCGGCGGCAGAGCUUCAAGCUUUGCUCCCCACCACUGUGGUGGCCAGUGCGCUGCUGUCGUUGUUGCGUCGCCUUGUUGUCUGUGUUUCGAAAUAUCUCCGUACGAUGUUUCCCUCUAUUUUUGUUUCUCUUUCAAACCUUAGUUAAUAUGACAAAGAAAACGAAUAGUAGUAUCUCUCUUGUAUAACUCGCUGUUGCCUUAAACAUGACUAGCAUAACAGUACCACCCGCAGACAGUCUAUGAUGCUUCACGCAUUCAUCUAGUACACGUCUGUGUGCUAGCUUUCAUUGUGAGCGACAAUAUCAGGGCGGAGUGGUUUUGGUCUCAGGCUUUCUCUCAUCCGCAAAAGGCGCUUCGAGUGAAAUUUCAGCUUAUCAGUGGGUUCACCUCGCUACGCUAUUCUACUCAGUUUCGGCGUACCUAGUGACCCAGGCCUGCGCUAACGGACCUGUAUGGCACCUACUUGCCUCUCAUCCCACGCUAAGUGUGCUGUCAAGUAACUGAGCACCAGCUUGCUAGCCAGCCCUAGACCUGAAACUCGGUUGUUACCCAUAAGCUCCGUGUGCGUGUCACUUAGUGAUCAAAUACAGGCAUUUUAGGGUCGUGGACUCGUUCUGAUCCAGUUUCCCUUACCCCCGUGCGCCCGAAGGGUAUGCUCACAAGGCUCUUUCGGCAAGUACUUCAAUAUUCGAGCAGCUUCGUCAUCAGUGGCAUAGCUUCGCUAAGGUAGCGUAGAUGCCAAACCGCUCUGGCUUCGUGAGUUCUAGCCAGCAUCGGAUGUUUGGCCGGUCCGUUGGCUCCACGUGGAUCGCUGGGUCACUAUCCGUCCGCAGUUCACGCCCCAGCUUCAGCGCUCGAAGACACAUGUAUGCGAAAAGGACACGCCGCCGCCGCACUGAUUCAUUACAUAUUACAAAACUUGUUUGUACCUCCAUUAAUGUUAAUAAAUAACUGGAGAACGAGGCAGCUGGGUCAGGGGAAGCAGCAUUCGUGUUGCCGCUAGCAACUGCAACCGUUUGUGCUGCUAUUGGCGAUUAUGUAUGUAGAACCACUCAAAAUAAGCGCCAAGCGUAUGUAGCUAACGGCAGCGAUAAAAUCAGCUUUCCUGAACAGGACUACGAAGUCCUGCGUAUUACGACGAAAUGCCGAAAAGGCUUUCAGCAAGAUUCUAGCAGCCGUCUAUGGCCUCUUACUUGGCGUGUUGUUUCGAAAAACACAACAACGAGAUGACGACGUCUGGAAAGCAGCAACGAUAGAUAUAACAGCAACCACUAUCGAAUUCGCCUCUUUUGCCGUAGAGAAAGCCAACUCUAAUGGCAAGAUCGAUGCCUGUUGUGUGAGGGCUCCGAUAUAAGGCCAGAGGAAGGAGGUCCGGACGAUGGUGGCGUUGAGGCGAAAACUGUAGGACAAACCGCGCUUCAGACCGAGCCAAGGAACACCAGCGGAAAAAGGAAGGGUUAACGUUAUUUGACAUUGAUUGCCGAUGCGGCAAUGCAAAAGCCCGAUAUAUGGCUGGUUUAUGCAUGGCUGCACUAGUGUUACAUCGAGUGUAAUUCUUGGUUUGAAGAUUAUUUGAACUUUCAAAAAAGUCUAGUAUAAUAAAUGUCAGACAAACGUU